RNAcentral lists this ribosomal RNA (305 nucleotides) under uncultured bacterium. Its description in RNAcentral is "bacterial SSU rRNA". It matches the Rfam family "Bacterial small subunit ribosomal RNA", at positions 337 to 656 of the family's 1533-position model. The record is from RNAcentral.
UUCUACGGGAGGCAGCAGUGGGGAAUAUUGGGCAAUGGGCGCAAGCCUGACCCAGCAAUGCCGCGUGAAGGAAGAAGGCCCUCGGGUUGUAAACUUCUUUUAUCAGGGACGAAGGAUGUGACGGUACCUGAUGAAUAAGCCACGGCUAACUACGUGCCAGCAGCCGCGGUAAUACGUAGGUGGCAAGCGUUAUCCGGAUUUACUGGGUGUAAAGGGCGUGUAGGCGGGAAAGCAAGUCAGAUGUGAAAACCACGGGCUCAACCUGUGGCCUGCAUUUGAAACUGUUUUUCUUGAGUACUGGAGAG